AGCGAACGCUGGCGGCAUGCCUAACACAUGCAAGUCGCACGGGGGGGCUUCGGCCUCCCAGUGGCGGACGGGUGAGGAACGCGUAGGGACCUGUCGAGGGGUGGGGGAUAACCGCGGGAAACUGCGGCUAAUACCGCAUGACGCCGCGGCGUGACAGCCGGGGCCAAAGGCGAAAGCCGCCCGCCGAGGGGCCUGCGUCCGAUUAGCUGGUUGGCGGGGUAGCGGCCCACCAAGGCGUCGAUCGGUAGCUGGUCUGAGAGGGUGAUCAGCCACACCGGGACUGAGACACGGCCCGGACUCCUACGGGAGGCAGCAGUGGGGAAUAUUGGACAAUGGGCGCAAGCCUGAUCCAGCAAUGCCGCGUGGGCGAAGAAGGUCUUCGGAUUGUAAAGCCCUUUCGGCGGGGACGGUGGUGACGGUACCCGCAGAAGAAGCCCCGGCUAACUUCGUG
RNAcentral lists this ribosomal RNA (451 nucleotides) under uncultured bacterium. RNAcentral's name for it is "partial 16S ribosomal RNA". It matches the Rfam family "Bacterial small subunit ribosomal RNA", at positions 28 to 507 of the family's 1533-position model. The record is from RNAcentral.